RNAcentral lists this ribosomal RNA (425 nucleotides) under uncultured bacterium. RNAcentral's name for it is "partial 16S ribosomal RNA". It matches the Rfam family "Bacterial small subunit ribosomal RNA", at positions 354 to 796 of the family's 1533-position model. The record is from RNAcentral.
GUUAGGAAUAUUGGACAAUGGGCGCAAGCCUGAUCCAGCCAUGCCGCGUGAACGAUGAAGGCCUUCGGGUUGUAAAGUUCUUUAGCCGAUGAUUAUAAUGACUGUAGUCGGAAAAUAAGCCCCGGCUAACUUCGUGCCAGCAGCCGCGGUAAUACGAAGGGGGCGAGCGUUAUUCGGAAUCACUGGGCGUAAAGCGUGCGUAGGCGGUCUCGUAAGUUAGGAGUGAAAGCCCAGGGCUCAACCCUGGAAUUGCUCUCAAAACUGCAAGGCUCGAAUUCGGGAGAGGAUAGCGGAAUUGCCAGUGUAGCAGUGAAAUGCGUAGAUAUUGACAGGAACACCAGUGGCGUAAGCGGCUAUCUGGACCGACAUUGACGCUGAGGCACGAAAGCGUGGGGAGCAAACAGGAUUAGAAACCCCAGUAGUCC